GAUGAACGCUGGCGGCGUGCCUAAUACAUGCAAGUCGAGCGAACGGACGAGAAGAUUGCUUCUCUGAUGUUAGCGGCGGACGGGUGAGUAACACGUGGAUCACCUACCUCUAAUACUGGGAUAACUUCGGGAAACCGGAGCUAAUACCGGAUGAUAUUUUGAACCGCAUGGUUCAAAAGUGAAAGACGGUCUUGCUGUCACUUAUAGAUGGAUCCGCGCUGCAUUAGCUAGUUGGUAAGGUAACGGCUUACCAAGGCAACGAUGCAUAGCCGACCUGAGAGGGUGAUCGGCCACACUGGAACUGAGACACGGUCCAGACUCCUACGGGAGGCAGCAGUAGGGAAUCUUGCGCAAUGGGCGAAAGCCUGACGGAGCAACACCGCGUGAGUGAUGAAGGUCUUCGGGUCGUAAAACUCUGUUAUUAGGGAAGAACAUAUGUGUAAGUAACUGUGCACAUCUUGACGAUACCUAAUCAGAAAGCCACGGCUAACUACGUG
Molecule: ribosomal RNA, 497 nt
Filed under: uncultured bacterium
Lineage: Bacteria
Description: partial 16S ribosomal RNA
Rfam family: Bacterial small subunit ribosomal RNA
Source: RNAcentral